UGGGGAAUUUUGGACAAUGGGCGAAAGCCUGAUCCAGCAAUGCCGCGUGUGUGAAGAAGGCCUUCGGGUUGUAAAGCACUUUUGUCCGGAAAGAAAUCCUUGGCUCUAAUACAGUCGGGGGAUGACGGUACCGGAAGAAUAAGCACCGGCUAACUACGUGCCAGCAGCCGCGGUAAUACGUAGGGUGCAAGCGUUAAUCGGAAUUACUGGGCGUAAAGCGUGCGCAGGCGGUUUGCUAAGACCGAUGUGAAAUCCCCGGGCUCAACCUGGGAACUGCAUUGGUGACUGGCAGGCUAGAGUAUGGCAGAGGGGGGUAGAAUUCCACGUGUAGCAGUGAAAUGCGUAGAGAUGUGGAGGAAUACCGAUGGCGAAGGCAGCCCCCUGGGCCAAUACUGACGCUCAUGCACGAAAGCGUGGGGAGCAAAACAGGAUUAGAUACCCUGGUAGUCCACGCCCUAAACGAUGUCAACUAGUUGUUGGGGAUUCAUUCCUUAGUAACGUAGCUAACGCGUGAAGUUGACCGCCUGGGGAGUACGGUCGCAAGAUUAAAACUCAAAGGAAUUGACGGGGUCAUA
Molecule: ribosomal RNA, 575 nt
Filed under: uncultured bacterium
Lineage: Bacteria
Description: partial 16S ribosomal RNA
Rfam family: Bacterial small subunit ribosomal RNA
Source: RNAcentral